CUAUACAUGCAAGUCGAGCGGACAGAUGGGAGCUUGCUCCCUGAUGUUAGCGGCGGACGGGUGAGUAACACGUGGGUAACCUGCCUGUAAGACUGGGAUAACUCCGGGAAACCGGGGCUAAUACCGGAUGGUUGUUUGAACCGCAUGGUUCAGACAUAAAAGGUGGCUUCGGCUACCACUUACAGAUGGACCCGCGGCGCAUUAGCUAGUUGGUGAGGUAACGGCUCACCAAGGCAACGAUGCGUAGCCGACCUGAGAGGGUGAUCGGCCACACUGGGACUGAGACACGGCCCAGACUCCUACGGGAGGCAGCAGUAGGGAAUCUUCCGCAAUGGACGAAAGUCUGACGGAGCAACGCCGCGUGAGUGAUGAAGGUUUUCGGAUCGUAAAGCUCUGUUGUUAGGGAAGAACAAGUGCCGUUCAAAUAGGGCGGCACCUUGACGGUACCUAACCAGAAAGCCACGGCUAACUACGUGCCAGCAGCCGCGGUAAUACGUAGGUGGCAAGCGUUGUCCGGAAUUAUUGGGCGUAAAGGGCUCGCAGGCGGUUUCUUAAGUCUGAUGUGAAAGCCCCCGGCUCAACCGGGGAGGGUCAUUGGAAACUGGGGAACUUGAGUGCAGAAGAGGAGAGUGGAAUUCCACGUGUAGCGGUGAAAUGCGUAGAGAUGUGGAGGAACACCAGUGGCGAAGGCGACUCUCUGGUCUG
RNAcentral lists this ribosomal RNA (705 nucleotides) under Bacillus sp. (in: firmicutes). RNAcentral's name for it is "bacterial SSU rRNA". It matches the Rfam family "Bacterial small subunit ribosomal RNA", at positions 49 to 736 of the family's 1533-position model. Lineage: Bacteria; Bacillati; Bacillota; Bacilli; Caryophanales; Bacillaceae. The record is from RNAcentral.